RNAcentral lists this RNase P RNA (354 nucleotides) under marine eukaryotic metagenome. RNAcentral describes it as "Bacterial RNase P class A". It matches the Rfam family "Bacterial RNase P class A". Rfam says of the family: Ribonuclease P (RNase P) is a ubiquitous endoribonuclease, found in archaea, bacteria and eukarya as well as chloroplasts and mitochondria. Its best characterised activity is the generation of mature 5'-ends of tRNAs by cleaving the 5'-leader elements of precursor-tRNAs. Cellular RNase Ps are ribonucleoproteins. The record is from RNAcentral.
AGUCAGCUGGACAAUUGCUGUUCUCAUUUGUUUGAAAUGAGGAGAGAGGAAAGUCCGGGCUCCGAAGAGCAGAGUGCCAGGUAACUCCUGGGAGGCGCGAGCCUACGGCUAGUGCAGCAGAAAAGAAACCGCCUCGGCAUCUCGGUGUUGAGGUAAGGGUGAAAUGGUGCGGUAAGAGCGCACCGCGCGACUGGUAACAGCUCGUGGCAAGGUAAACCCCACUUGGAGCAAGGCCAAAUAGGAAUCAUCUAAUGCUGCUCGCAUUUGAUUCGGGUAGGCCGCUAAAGGUUUGUGGUGACACAGGUCUUAGAUGAAUAAUUGUCCUAGACAGAACCCGGCUUAUAGGCUGACUCA